Molecule: ribosomal RNA, 479 nt
Filed under: uncultured bacterium
Lineage: Bacteria
Description: partial 16S ribosomal RNA
Rfam family: Bacterial small subunit ribosomal RNA
Source: RNAcentral
GAUGAACGCUAGCGGGAGGCCUAACACAUGCAAGCCGAGCGGUAUUGUUUCUUCGGAAAUGAGAGAGCGGCGUACGGGUGCGUAACACGUGUGCAACCUGCCUUUAUCUGGGGGAUAGCCUUUCGAAAGGAAGAUUAAUACUCCAUAAUAUAUUGAACGGCGUCGUUUAAUAUUGAAAGCUCCGGCGGAUAGAGAUGGGCACGCGCAAGAUUAGCUAGUUGGUGAGGUAACGGCUCACCAAGGCGAUGAUCUUUAGGGGGCCUGAGAGGGUGAUCCCCCACACUGGUACUGAGACACGGACCAGACUCCUACGGGAGGCAGCAGUGAGGAAUAUGGGUCAAUGGGUGCAAGCCUGAACCAGCCAUCCCGCGUGAAGGACGACUGCCCUAUGGGUGGUAAACUUCUUUUGUAUAGGGAUAAACCUACCCUCGAGAGGGUAGCUGAAGGUACUAUACGAAUAAGCACCGGCUAACUCCGUG